This 197-nucleotide small nuclear RNA is filed under the name Corchorus olitorius. RNAcentral describes it as "U2 spliceosomal RNA". It matches the Rfam family "U2 spliceosomal RNA". Rfam says of the family: U2 is a small nuclear RNA (snRNA) component of the spliceosome (involved in pre-mRNA splicing). Complementary binding between U2 snRNA (in an area lying towards the 5' end but 3' to hairpin I) and the branchpoint sequence (BPS) of the intron results the bulging out of an unpaired adenosine, on the BPS, which initiates a nucleophilic attack at the intronic 5' splice site, thus starting the first of two transesterification reactions that mediate splicing. Lineage: Eukaryota; Viridiplantae; Streptophyta; Magnoliopsida; Malvales; Malvaceae. The record is from Rfam by way of RNAcentral.
AUACCUUUCUCGGCCUUUUGGCUAAGAUCAAGUGUAGUAUCUGUUCUUAUCAGUUUAAUAUCUGAUACGUGGGCCAUUGGCCCACAUGAUAUUAAAUUUAUUUUUUUAGGGGGAGGGGCCCACCACAGUAGCUUGCUACUGGGGCUCUCGCGCGUCGCCCAAGCGUUGCACUACAGCUCGGGCCUGGCGCACCCCAC